CGGGCUGGACCUCUCGGGGUUACAGCCUUGCUGAAUUAUUCACCCUUGUCUUUUGCGUACUUCUUGUUUCCUUGGUGGGUUCGCCCACCACUAGGACAAACAUAAACCUUUUGUAAUUGCAAUCAGCGUCAGUAACAAAUUAAUAAUUACAACUUUCAACAACGGAUCUCUUGGUUCUGGCAUCGAUGAAGAACGCAGCGAAAUGCGAUAAGUAGUGUGAAUUGCAGAAUUCAGUGAAUCAUCGAAUCUUUGAACGCACAUUGCGCCCUUUGGUAUUCCAAAGGGCAUGCCUGUUCGAGCGUCAUUUGUACCCUCAAGCUUUGCUUGGUGUUGGGCGUCUUGUCUCUAGCUUUGCUGGAGACUCGCCUUAAAGUAAUUGGCAGCCGGCCUACUGGUUUCGGAGCGCAGCACAAGUCGCACUCUCUAUCAGCAAAGGUCUAGCAUCCAUUAAGCCUUUUUUUCAACUUUUGACCUCGGAUCAGGUAGGGAUACCCGCUGAACUUAAGCAUAUCAAUAAGG
RNAcentral lists this ribosomal RNA (519 nucleotides) under Alternaria alternata. Its description in RNAcentral is "eukaryotic LSU rRNA". The stretch from base 151 to 304 matches the Rfam family "5.8S ribosomal RNA". The record is from RNAcentral. Lineage: Eukaryota; Fungi; Ascomycota; Dothideomycetes; Pleosporales; Pleosporaceae.